AGCUCUGUUGUAAGAGAAGAACGAGUGUGAGAGUGGAAAGUUCACACUGUGACGGUAUCUUACCAGAAAGGGACGGCUAACUACGUGCCAGCAGCCGCGGUAAUACGUAGGUCCCGAGCGUUGUCCGGAUUUAUUGGGCGUAAAGCGAGCGCAGGCGGUUUGAUAAGUCUGAAGUUAAAGGCUGUGGCUCAACCAUAGUUCGCUUUGGAAACUGUCAAACUUGAGUGCAGAAGGGGAGAGUGGAAUUCCAUGUGUAGCGGUGAAAUGCGUAGAUAUAUGGAGGAACACCGGUGGCGAAAGCGGCUCUCUGGUCUGUAACUGACGCUGAGGCUCGAAAGCGUGGGGAGCGAACAGGUGUCGACGCGGCCG
RNAcentral lists this ribosomal RNA (369 nucleotides) under uncultured bacterium. Its description in RNAcentral is "bacterial SSU rRNA". It matches the Rfam family "Bacterial small subunit ribosomal RNA", at positions 429 to 788 of the family's 1533-position model. The record is from RNAcentral.